UACGUAGGGGGCUAGCGUUGUCCGGAAUCAUUGGGCGUAAAGCGCGUGUAGGCGGUCCGGUAAGUCCGCUGUGAAAGUCGGGGGCUCAACCCUCGAAAGCCGGUGGAAACUGUCGGGCUAGAGUGCGGAAGAGGCGAGUGGAAUUCCUGGCGUAGCGGUGAAAUGCGCAGAUAUCAGGAGGAACACCAAUUGCGAAGGCAGCUCGCUGGGACGUUACUGACGCUGAGACGCGAAAGCGUGGGGAGCGAACAGG
Molecule: ribosomal RNA, 253 nt
Filed under: uncultured bacterium
Lineage: Bacteria
Description: partial 16S ribosomal RNA
Rfam family: Bacterial small subunit ribosomal RNA
Source: RNAcentral